Non-coding RNA from Arachis ipaensis, 141 nucleotides. The record is from RefSeq and is a predicted model, not a curated record. NCBI's taxonomy places the organism in Eukaryota, Viridiplantae, Streptophyta, Magnoliopsida, Fabales, Fabaceae.
UUCUACCUCUGAGUCUGAGACUGAAGAAGACUUAGAGGAUUCACCAAGAAAAGAACCCAGCAAAAAAGGAAAAAAAAGCGAACAAUCAUCACCAGUGAAGAAGCAAAAAACAAAGAAAAAGACACAGAGAACACCAAAAAA